Long non-coding RNA from Oncorhynchus masou masou (cherry salmon), 343 nucleotides. RefSeq lists it as uncharacterized. The record is from RefSeq and is a predicted model, not a curated record. The transcript is spliced from 3 exons. NCBI's taxonomy places the organism in Eukaryota, Metazoa, Chordata, Actinopteri, Salmoniformes, Salmonidae.
AGGGAGUUGUCUCCUCCUCCUCUGAACCUGAGGAGGUUGUACAGUGAGACUCUGGAGAUUGAACCUGUCCUCAUCAUCAUCUCCCCUGGAGCAGAUCCCUCCCAGGAGCUACUGGAGCUGGCCUCAGAGACUGUAGGACGGGACAACUACCACGAGGUGGCAAUGGGCCAGGGCCAGGCUGAUGUGGCCUUAGCCACUCUGAGAGAGUGUUCCCACAGCGGAGGCUGGCUCUGCCUUAAAAACCUUCACCUGGUGACUGCGUGGCUGCCCCUGCUAGAGAAGGAGCUGAAUGUUCUGCAACCUAAGGCAGGCUUCCGUCUCUGGCUCACUGCUGAGGUCCAUC